This 253-nucleotide ribosomal RNA is filed under the name uncultured bacterium. Its description in RNAcentral is "partial 16S ribosomal RNA". It matches the Rfam family "Bacterial small subunit ribosomal RNA", at positions 524 to 776 of the family's 1533-position model. The record is from RNAcentral.
GACGAACCGUGCGAACGUUGUUCGGAAUCACUGGGCUUAAAGGGCGCGUAGGCGGGCAAGCAAGUCUGGGGUGAAAUCUUUCGGCCUAACCGGAAAAGUGCCUUGGAUACUGCAUGUCUCGAGGGAGGUAGGGGCAGAUGGAACUUCCGGUGGAGCGGUGAAAUGCGUUGAUAUCGGAAGGAACGCCGGUGGCGAAAGCGAUCUGCUGGAUCUCAUCUGACGCUGAGGCGCGAAAGCUAGGGGAGCAAACGGG